UCUUUGUAAAGGUCUUGCACACGCCCGUGCCUGCAACGCUGACGAGCACACACGCUGCCUCAUUCCCCUCCCCUCGCUCUACUCGAGUCGCUCCCGAGGAAAUCCGAAGUCCCGCCUCCAAACCAAAAACAAACAACGGCACCCGUCCCGCCCUUUCCUCCACAGCGAAGGCGGCAAAAUGAGAAGGAACAGGAACGAAAACGAAAUGACCCCGACGUGAUUCGAACACGCAGCCUUCUGAUCUGGAGUCAGACGCGCUACCGUUGCGCCACGAGGUCCUGCUGCAAAACGCGCGCCAGAGCCUUGGAACUCACCUACCACAGCUGCCCGCCGCCUGAUCUCUUCACUGCCUCGAAUCUCCCCUUUCCCCCGCCACGAGCUCGCUUCCCGCAUCCCUCUCAGGAUGCAUUCAGAAUUCGGGUGUUGCCUUGUGCUAGUUCUGUAUUUAAAUUUCCUUUGGGGAAAAACAAGGACUUCGUCUGAGAUUUUGAUGAUCACAGACAAUGUUAUUAAUAAUAGAUUGGAAAUGAAGAAUGAGAGCCUAUUCAUCAAAGACCAUAUCGAAAGGACAUACCAACUCUGGCUUGUUGGACUGAUUGCUGUAUGAAAGUGAUAGUGUAAUUUGUACAGCAGAUGCCUAACAGUAGCAUCUGAAGAGUCCCUGAAUUACACUGUUCUCAAGAAGAUGUAUGCAUCUUGUCAUCUUUGCAAAUUGUCACAAUAAAAUUUUAGAAUAGAAAUACA
RNAcentral lists this transfer RNA (744 nucleotides) under Numida meleagris (helmeted guineafowl). RNAcentral describes it as "lncRNA (ENSNMEG00000007831.1)". Lineage: Eukaryota; Metazoa; Chordata; Aves; Galliformes; Numididae. The record is from RNAcentral.